UGCCCAGCUUUUCUGCUUGUCUUCCCCUUCCAGGAUGUCCUGACGUCCUUUGAGAACAAAUGCCAAAUUUACAAAAUCUUGUCACCUCGACUGGACUUUUACCGGAGGUUCAUCAUGACAUUGUCAUGUUUUGGAUUGUAAUGAAAACAACCAGAGGGUGUUCAACCAGAGAAGAGAAGGCCCUGGAAAAGACUGAACCCCUAACAGAGGAAAUGGAGGAUACAGACCACCCAGGAGGAAAGAAUGGGAGAAAAUGCUUAGAUCUACAAUAUUCAGACAACCAGUGAAGUGUGCUAUAUAGAGUUAAACACCCUGCACCAACCAAGAAGGAUCAGGAUGUGGGUAGGAACAAGGGCAAAGCAUGAGAGUCUACAUUGGAGAGGACAGAAAGGAGGACAAGGCUUGAGGGACAGUGCUGAGGAAGAAUGGCCCAUCCUGGAGUUCCAAGGAGCAAGAAGUCAGCUGUGGUCAAAGUGGACUCAAAGACUCAAGCCAAGGUUGUCUGGGAUAAUGGUGCCUCCAGGAAUGGACAUGGAAGUCUGAAGGAAACCAUUGUCUGGGGGAGAAUAUGAGGAGUCUGAGCUGCUACCAGAAAUCCAUGAGGAAUCCCACAGACCACUGGAAACAAGGGUCUGGGACUGAAGACAGAGCUUAGGGCUAACUGUAUGCAUGGACAGUGGAUGCUCUAGGGUGAACAUGGGCUCUGGGUUCAAAUCCCAGCUCUGCCACUUGUGAGCCCUGUGACCUUGAUAGGACACUUUGA
This 763-nucleotide long non-coding RNA is filed under the name Ictidomys tridecemlineatus (thirteen-lined ground squirrel). RNAcentral describes it as "lncRNA (ENSSTOG00000031008.1)". The record is from RNAcentral. Lineage: Eukaryota; Metazoa; Chordata; Mammalia; Rodentia; Sciuridae.